Molecule: ribosomal RNA, 1372 nt
Filed under: uncultured bacterium
Lineage: Bacteria
Description: bacterial SSU rRNA
Rfam family: Bacterial small subunit ribosomal RNA
Source: RNAcentral
GAUAAACGCUGGCGGCGUGCCUAAUACAUGCAAGUCGAGCGAACGGACGAGAAGCUUGCUUCUCUGAUGUUAGCGGCGGACGGGUGAGUAACACGUGGAUAACCUACCUAUAAGACUGGGAUAACUUCGGGAAACCGGAGCUAAUACCGGAUAAUAUUUUGAACCGCAUGGUUCAAAAGUGAAAGACGGUCUUGCUGUCACUUAUAGAUGGAUCCGCGCUGCAUUAGCUAGUUGGUAAGGUAACGGCUUACCAAGGCAACGAUGCAUAGCCGACCUGAGAGGGUGAUCGGCCACACUGGAACUGAGACACGGUCCAGACUCCUACGGGAGGCAGCAGUAGGGAAUCUUCCGCAAUGGGCGAAAGCCUGACGGAGCAACGCCGCGUGAGUGAUGAAGGUCUUCGGAUCGUAAAACUCUGUUAUUAGGGAAGAACAUAUGUGUAAGUAACUGUGCACAUCUUGACGGUACCUAAUCAGAAAGCCACGGCUAACUACGUGCCAGCAGCCGCGGUAAUACGUAGGUGGCAAGCGUUAUCCGGAAUUAUUGGGCGUAAAGCGCGCGUAGGCGGUUUUUUAAGUCUGAUGUGAAAGCCCACGGCUCAACCGUGGAGGGUCAUUGGAAACUGGAAAACUUGAGUGCAGAAGAGGAAAGUGGAAUUCCAUGUGUAGCGGUGAAAUGCGCAGAGAUAUGGAGGAACACCAGUGGUGAAGGCAGCUUUCUGGUCUGUAACUGACGCUGAUGUGCGAAAGCGUGGGGAUCAAACAGGAUUAGAUACCCUGGUAGUCCACGCCGUAAACGAUGAGUGCUAAGUGUUAGGGGGUUUCCGCCCCUUAGUGCUGCAGCUAACGCAUUAAGCACUCCACCUGGGGAGUACGACCGCAAGGUUGAAACUCAAAGGAAUUGACGGGGACCCGCACAAGCGGUGGAGCAUGUGGUUUAAUUCGAAGCAACGCGAAGAACCUUACCAAAUCUUGACAUCCUUUGACAACUCUAGAGAUAGAGCCUUCCCCUUCGGGGGACAAAGUGACAGGUGGUGCAUGGUUGUCGUCAGCUCGUGUCGUGAGAUGUUGGGUUAAGUCCCGCAACGAGCGCAACCCUUAAGCUUAGUUGCCAUCAUUAAGUUGGGCACUCUAAGUUGACUGCCGGUGACAAACCGGAGGAAGGUGGGGAUGACGUCAAAUCAUCAUGCCCCUUAUGAUUUGGGCUACACACGUGCUACAAUGGACAAUACAAAGGGCAGCGAAACCGCGAGGUCAAGCAAAUCCCAUAAAGUUGUUCUCAGUUCGGAUUGUAGUCUGCAACUCGACUACAUGAAGCUGGAAUCGCUAGUAAUCGUAGAUCAGCAUGCUACGGUGAAUACGUUCCCGGGUCU